UACAGAGGUCUCAAGCGUUGUUCGGAUUCAUUGGGCGUAAAGGGUGCGUAGGUGGCGCGGUAAGUCGGGUGUGAAAUUUCGGAGCUUAACUCCGAAACUGCAUUCGAUACUGCCGUGCUUGAGGACUGGAGAGGAGACUGGAAUUUACGGUGUAGCAGUGAAAUGCGUAGAGAUCGUAAGGAAGACCAGUGGCGAAGGCGGGUCUCUGGACAGUUCCUGACACUGAGGCACGAAGGCUAGGGGAGCAAACGGG
This 253-nucleotide ribosomal RNA is filed under the name uncultured bacterium. RNAcentral's name for it is "partial 16S ribosomal RNA". It matches the Rfam family "Bacterial small subunit ribosomal RNA", at positions 524 to 776 of the family's 1533-position model. The record is from RNAcentral.